GACGAACGCUGGCGGCGUGCCUAAUACAUGCAAGUUGAGCGCUGAAGGUUGGUACUUGUACCAACUGGAUGAGCAGCGAACGGGUGAGUAACGCGUGGGGAAUCUGCCUUUGAGCGGGGGACAACAUUUGGAAACGAAUGCUAAUACCGCAUAAAAACUUUAAACACAAGUUUUAAGUUUGAAAGAUGCAAUUGCAUCACUCAAAGAUGAUCCCGCGUUGUAUUAGCUAGUUGGUGAGGUAAAGGCUCACCAAGGCGAUGAUACAUAGCCGACCUGAGAGGGUGAUCGGCCACAUUGGGACUGAGACACGGCCCAAACUCCUACGGGAGGCAGCAGUAGGGAAUCUUCGGCAAUGGACGAAAGUCUGACCGAGCAACGCCGCGUGAGUGAAGAAGGUUUUCGGAUCGUAAAAACUCUGUUGGUAGAGAAGA
Molecule: ribosomal RNA, 431 nt
Filed under: Lactococcus lactis
Lineage: Bacteria; Bacillati; Bacillota; Bacilli; Lactobacillales; Streptococcaceae
Description: bacterial SSU rRNA
Rfam family: Bacterial small subunit ribosomal RNA
Source: RNAcentral